GUGCUUGCUUCGGCAGCUCAUGUACUAAAAUUGGAAUGAUACAGAGAAGAUUAGUAUGGUCCCUAGGAAAAAAAGGGGGAAAAUCCCUCAAUCUUU
This 96-nucleotide small nuclear RNA is filed under the name Salvator merianae (Argentine black and white tegu). The record is from RNAcentral. Lineage: Eukaryota; Metazoa; Chordata; Lepidosauria; Squamata; Teiidae.